GGGCAAUGUCGUCGUAUUUGCUUCAGAAAGUGCUUCCAGUAGAAAGAAAGGAGCCUCAAAGAAACCACUCUCAAAGCAGGAGAAAGCUGUAAUCUGUAUCCCCACUCCCUGGUUGGUUAUUAUUUCUGGAUACCAGCUAUUACAAUUGCUUCUAAUCACUGGUUACUGCAGACAAAAUCCACCCUCCCCUUUUGCUUCUCUUCUGGAAGCAGUUUUGAAACACAGAAAAAAGCUGGUGUGCACCUCCUGUAUAGGGACUCUGAGAAAAAUGAAGGUGAAUCAACAAAAGUGUCUGCUUAAUAGACCAACUCUGUACUCAGCCACCCCACUGAUGUCAAUGGAACAUACAAGACAGUGAGUAAAUGUUAGUUUUGCACUAUCUAUUCUCCCUGCCAUGCUCUUGAAGGUAUUUCCAAGAUGCAGCACAC
RNAcentral lists this long non-coding RNA (428 nucleotides) under Crocodylus porosus (Australian saltwater crocodile). RNAcentral's name for it is "lncRNA (ENSCPRG00005010053.1)". Lineage: Eukaryota; Metazoa; Chordata; Crocodylia; Crocodylidae. The record is from RNAcentral.